AUUGAACGCUGGCGGCGUGCCUAACACAUGCAAGUCGAGCGGUAACAGGUGUAGCAAUACAUGCUGACGAGCGGCGAACGGGUGAGUAAUGCUUCGGAAUCUACCCAAUGGUGGGGAAUAACCAGCCGAAAGGUUGGCUAAUACCGCAUACGUCCUACGGGAGAAAGCAGGGGAUCGUAAGACCUUGCGCCAAUGGAUGAGCCGAAGUCGGAUUAGCUAGUUGGAGGGUAACGGCCUACCAAGGCGACGAUCCGUAGCUGGUCUGAGAGGACGACCAGCCACACUGGGACUGAGACACGGCCCAGACUCCUACGGGAGGCAGCAGUGGGGAAUAUUGGACAAUGGGGGAAACCCUGAUCCAGCGACGCCGCGUGUGUGAAGAAGGCCUGCGGGGUUGUAAAGCACUUUUUAG
This 412-nucleotide ribosomal RNA is filed under the name uncultured bacterium. RNAcentral's name for it is "bacterial SSU rRNA". It matches the Rfam family "Bacterial small subunit ribosomal RNA", at positions 30 to 440 of the family's 1533-position model. The record is from RNAcentral.